Molecule: non-coding RNA, 5044 nt
Organism: Monodelphis domestica (gray short-tailed opossum)
Lineage: Eukaryota; Metazoa; Chordata; Mammalia; Didelphimorphia; Didelphidae
Source: RefSeq, a predicted model, not a curated record
UGGUAGGAAUUGCUCAGAGGCAGAUUUAGGGUGGACUUCAGGGGAAAGUUCUAACCACUGGGGCGGUGCACAAGUGGAAUGGCCUGCCUAGAGAAAUGGCGGGCUCCCCCUUUCCCAGAAGGGCUGGAUGAUCUCUGUUGAGGAUGUUACAGAAGGGAUACUUGGUCAGGAGAGUCCGGGUUAAAAAAGGGCAUAUUUCUCUUGAAGAUUUUUAAACUGGUAAUAAGCACAAGAUGAAGAAGCUCAACUGUUUCUGGACAUAAGAAAUGACAUCAGAGAUUCGACCCUGACUCAACAGGCAUUAAGUCGCCCUGGCAGUUCCUUCAUUGGGGUACUAGUACACCCUGCUCAGCCGAACCUGACUCUUUCCAUUUAGAGAGAAUGGAAAAGCUGAAAGCAAGGAUCCAAGAAGUUUGCAGAUAUCAGAUCCAUGGUGGGUUCCUGUCCCACUCAGAAGCCAGGUCACAGAACAAAUAGCAAAAGGAAAGCCGAGGAGUGUCAAGAGGCCCUGCAGAUGGUGGGUCAGAGCCAUGUGUGUGAUUCUUCACCAUUGAGUUCCAUACUCCAUGGCUAGGGAAAGUGUGCCCUGCCAUUGACAUCUUCAUUGAUCAUGAAGGCAGUUAUUUGCCCAUCUCCCCUUUACCUGAAAAAAAGGCCAUAAAAGUGGGGAGAGUGGGGAGCAGACCUCAGACAGGAAUUGCCAAUGAAGGGAUAGGCAGACUGUGACUGCCUCUCACCUGGGAAUGGUUCCCCUUCUGCCAGAGCCCACUACAGUAUGCUGACUUUAAGAUGGAGCUCUGAACCUUUGCUACUAGUCAAACACAAAUGAUAUUUGUCAUUGGCAGAGAGGGAUCCAUGCUUGCUUGGACAGUCUGACUAAGAAAGGAGAGCUCAUCAUUAAUGAACUGCUAUUCUGGAUAGGAGGACAGAAAGAGUAAUGCUAUGAUCUUAAUGGUUGGGAUUUAAAAAGAAGAGACUGUUAACUAGACAGACAACUUAUUUUGGAGACCACUUUAUCCUGGACGGAGAAGAGUGGCUACUAAUUGAUAUUUUCAGGAGAGGGUUGAUCAUCUCAUGGUCAAUGCAAUGUAAGUAGAACCAUAGGACUUAACAGAACUUAUCUACCUCCCUGUAAUACCUAGGGAUAAAUGAGAAGCAUUAAAAAAGGGUUAUAGGUUUCCCCAAUAAACCAGUAAAUGGGAAAAGAAAUGUGGGAAGGCUGAACUAAAUGGUCACCAAGGAAAUCCAUAGUAGCGAAAGACAGGAAGAAAUCCAGUUUUUCCAGUGUCAGGAGCAUUGAAAAAGUCGUAGGCUUUGUUUUAGAUAUGGGAAGCAUCUGGUUUAAUACAAUAUGAAGAACCAGGCUCCCCAUAAUAAACUAUAUUUUUGGAACAUCUUGGUAAUAGAUUGCCUAGAAUUUGUUGAGAAACUGGAGAGUGGCCCUCCAGAGGUGAGACAUCACCAGAAUACGUGGUGAUUAAAAUAGGAAGACCUUUAAAGGAAAGGCUAAUGUGCUGGGAAACCAUUCCUCUCAUGUGGCAAGCAGAUGGCAGUGGAAGACAAAUCAUUCUGGGAGUAAUUGAUAUAGAGGUGGCUGGGGUAGUCUGGGUUGCUAUGGUUACAAUGGCACACUUCCCACAAUGAAUGGAACUUGCAUCAGUGUAGUUUCCUGGAGCUAGGACCAGCUCAGCUAGGGUCAGGGUCACCUCAGGACCCUCCCCUAGAACUAGCAACAGUUAAGGGGCAAGGGGCCCAGGAUCCCUUUCCUUUAUUUGCUAGACAUUUUUAACAAAGAGAAAGAAGUUCAGUUGCCACCUUUUAAGUUUUCCCACAGAAUGCCUUCCCUGACCCUGCAAUAGCAUAUACAGAUUCAUGUAACAAGAAAAAAGAGUUGAUAUCUGCAAGCAUAUAUUCAAGGAAAAUAUGAAGACAGUUUGUCUGACCUCUAGAUAAAUAGCUCUCAAACUAUUUGUUCUCAGAACUUCUUUAUACCAUCAAAAAUUAUUCAUAUCUCAAAAAGCUUUUGUUUAUGUGAAUGAUAUUUAUCAUAUUAGACAUUUAAAUUGAUCCAUUAAAAUAAUUUGACUGAUUCAUUUAAAAUGACAAUAAACCUGUUACUUAUUAACACAAAUAACAUUUCUAUGAAAAAUAACUAUAUUUUCCAAAACAAAAAAUUAGUUAAAAGAGUGGCAUUGUCUUACAUAUUUUUUUGCAAUUCUAAUAUCUGCCUUAAUAGAAGUCAGCUGUAUUCUCUUCUCUGCUUCUGCAUUCAGUAUGUUAGGAUAUGUUGUUUUAAAGCAUAUAAAGAAAAUAUGGCCCCAUAGAGCUAUGUAGUUGGAAAGGGGGAGAAUAUUUUAAUAGGCAAGUAAUGUCUUAGAAUUAUUAUGAAAAUUGUUUUGACUUUGAGGAUCCCCUGAAAGGGUCUCCGGGACCCCAUGGGGUUCUGGGACCACAACAAUUCUAGUUUAGAGGCAGGAUUGCCCUUCUAUGACCUGUAAAAAGAAGAAGCAGUAUAAUUAUUUGAGUAUAGGGAGCUCAUCUGAAAAACUCCAUCGAUUAUAGAAUACUCACAUAUUUAUAUCAAAGCAGAUUUGUGAAAAACAUAUGUAAUCUUAUAAGAUCAAGUUCAAAAAAGGAUGGAAACAGGGCAGCUAGUUGGCAAAUCUGGCCUCAGACUCUUUCUAGCUGUGUGACCCUGGGCAAGUUACUUAAGUCUUGUUGCCUCACCUUUACCAUUCUUCUGCCUUGGAACUAAUACAUAGUAUUGAUUCUAAAACGUUUGGUAAGCAUUUUUUGUUUUUUGUUUGUUUAAAACCCUUACCUUCUGAGUUGGAGUCAAUGCUCCAGGGCAGAAGAGAGGGGUAAGGGCUAGGCAAUGGGGGUCAAGUGACUUGCCCAGAGUCACACAGCUGCAAAGUGUCUGAGGCCAAAUUUGAACCUAGGACCUCCCAUCUCUAGGCCUGGCUCUUAAUCCACUGAGCUACCCAGCUACCCCCAGCAUUUUUAAAAAAUGAAUGGAAACCAGCCAUUCUUAAUUUAUCCGGGUAUUACAAAUAAUAAAAAUACUUGACAUUUAUAUUUAAAAUUUUAAAAGCUCUUUACAAAUAAAAUAUUUCCUACUAUUCUUGUGGAGGAAAUUAAGUUAUAGAAUAAUUUUACAAUCAUAUUUUCAGAUCAGGUUAGACGAUGUAACUAAAAAAAUAAUUAUUAAUGGAUUGAUAUAAAAUAAAUGUCUACAGUGGAAUACUUCAGGGUUCUGUGCUAUUUAAUAUUUUUAUCAAGUUUGCAGAUGACACAAAAGAUAGGUCAGGAUCCAAAAUUAACUUCAUAGGGCCAACCAUUGGGCUGAAUCUAUUAAAAUGAAAUUCAAGAAAGAUAAAUGUAAAGUCACACUUGGGCACAAAAAAUCAGCUUCUUAGGUAUAAGAUGGGAGAGGUAUAAAUAGACAACAGUUGAUCUGAAAAAAUUUUAGGUGGGUAGUGUGGACUGCAGACUUAAUAUGAAUUAACAGCAUGAUGUGGAAGCAAAAAAGCCAAUAUGCUGAAUUUGGAGGGAAAACAAAUAUAAAAUAAACUGCUAGCUAAUUUGAUUUCUUUUUUUUAAAGAGGAAAAAUGAAACUGAAAGUGUCAAAAAUGAAAAUGAAGAAUUCACAGUGAAAAGGAAAUAAGCAAGACUCUUAUCCAGUUAUAUGCCAACAAAGCUGAUAAAUCAAAUGGAUACAUAUUUAUAAAAUACAAAAUUUUACAGAACAAGAAAUAGAAAUUUUAUAUACCCUGCUCUCAGAAAAAUAAAUUUAACAAGUCAGGAAGGAAAAGUCUCUAGGACUUGAUGAAUUUACAUAUAAAUUCUAUCAAAUGUUCAAAAAAAUUUAAUUCUAAUAUUACAUAAUUUAUUUGUCAAAAAAUAGGCAGGGGGGAGGGGGGAAUAUUGUGUGCUCAACCUGACUCAGACUAGUUCCCUGAGUUAUUUGAGUCUCAUACUGGAAUGAAACACUUAUAGGUCAUUUCAACAGUUAAUAAAAGGAGGUUUACUGGUUUAUUUAGCCAUAGCAUAGAAAAAAAGAUAUUCAACAAGGAUGUAGAACUUAGCUCUAGUUAAUGAAACUUUGGUCAGCAAGGUAGAGUGUGGUGACUCAGACACCUUGGGAUAUUUACCAAGGCUGAAUGACUGAAAAUCUAUGAUUAUAUUGAAAUAUAGCUAUUGAAAGAUUUUUAAAAGUUUAUAAACUCUUGGCUAAAAAAACCUUACUUUAAAGAGAUAGAAAAAAAUAGCAACAAAAUUCAUCUAGAACAAAAGGUCAAGAUUCUUAGGGUAAAUCUUUUUUUUAAGUCAAAGAAUUUUUAAGGGAAAUAACAAAAAAAGAUGGCUAUAAAAGGAAUAGCUCUCAAGCUAUACUACAUAGCAAUAAAUGUCAAAAUUAUUUAGUAGUGGUUAAAAAACACAAGAGUUUAUCAAUGGAAGAGAUUAAGUAAACAAGUCACAAAAGCAAUCAAAUUGAGUAGCAUAGUGUUCAGUAAACCCACAAACUCUAGCUAUUGGGUUGAGAAAUUCUUAUUAAACAAAAAUUGCUGAGAAAACUCAAAUGCAGAUUGGCAGAAAUGAAAUUUAGAUAAACCACUCAUACCAAAUACCAUUAAAUUCUAAAUUGAGACAUGCCCUGGAUAUUUAAUAUUGUCAUAAACUAAUGGAAAAGCAGAAAAGAAUGUACCUUUCAUAACUAUGAAUAGGGAAAGAAUUCUUACUUACAGAAGGGUUAGAGAAAAUCACUUGAGAUGAAUGAACUAUUUUGAUUACAUAAAAGUUUUUGCACAAACAAAAUCAAUGCAGUAGGAAUUAGAAGGGAGAUAGUUAACUGGGAAAACUCUUCAUAGAAAAUUAUUCUGCUAAAGGCAUGACAUAUAUAGAUAUUGGAAAUAAAUGUCAGUAUAAAAAUUCUUAAGGCCAUUCACUUACAAAUAGAUCAAUAGUCAAAGGACAUAAAUAUAAUGAAAGAAAAGAAAAAAGGAGGAGAAAGGAAAAGAAGGAGGGAGAAAGGGAAGGAGG